RNAcentral lists this ribosomal RNA (465 nucleotides) under uncultured bacterium. RNAcentral's name for it is "partial 16S ribosomal RNA". It matches the Rfam family "Bacterial small subunit ribosomal RNA", at positions 28 to 507 of the family's 1533-position model. The record is from RNAcentral.
GACGAACGCUGGCGGCGUGCUUAACACAUGCAAGUCGAACGGAAAGGCCCCCUUGUGGGGUACUCGAGUGGCGAACGGGUGAGUAACACGUGAGUAACCUACCCUUGACUUUGGGAUAACUUCAGGAAACUGGGGCUAAUACCGGAUAGGAGCUCCUGCUGAAUGGUGGGGGUUGGAAAGUUUCGGCGGUUGGGGAUGGACUCGCGGCUUAUCAGCUUGUUGGUGGGGUAGUGGCUCACCAAGGCUUUGACGGGUAGCCGGCCUGAGAGGGUGACCGGCCACAUUGGGACUGAGAUACGGCCCAGACUCCUACGGGAGGCAGCAGUGGGGAAUAUUGCACAAUGGGCGGAAGCCUGAUGCAGCAACGCCGCGUGCGGGAUGACGGCCUUCGGGUUGUAAACCGCUUUCGCCUGUGACGAAGCGUGAGUGACGGUAAUGGGUAAAGAAGCACCGGCUAACUACGUG